GGACGAGUUCAGACUCGUGGCGAAUAGCUCAGUAACACGUGGCCAAACUACCCUUCGGAACACAAUACCCUCGGGAAACUGAGGCUAAUAGUGUAUACCAUACCACCACUGGAAUGAGUGGUAUGCCAAACGCUCCGGCGCCGAAGGAUGUGGCUGCGGCCGAUUAGGUAGACGGUGGGGUAACGGCCCACCGUGCCAAUAAUCGGUACGGGUCAUGAGAGUGAGAACCCGGAGACGGAAUCUGAGACAAGAUUCCGGGCCCUACGGGGCGCAGCAGGCGCGAAACCUUUACACUGCACGACAGUGCGAUAGGGGGAUCCCAAGUGCACAGGCAUAGCGCCUGUGCUUUACGGUACCGUAAGGUGGUACCAGAAUAAGGGCUGGGCAAGACCGGUGCCAGCCGCCGCGGUAAUACCGGCAGCCCAAGUGAUGGCCGAUCUUAUUGGGCCUAAAGCGUCCGUAGCUGGCCGCGCAAGUCCAUCGGGAAAUCCACCUGCUCAACAGGUGGGCGCCCGGUAGAAACUGCGUGGCUUGGGACCGGAAGGCGCGACGGGUACGUCCGGGGUAGGAGUGAAAUCCCGUAAUCCUGGACGGACCGCCGAUGGCGAAAGCACGUCGCGAGAACGGAUCCGACAGUGAGGGACGAAAGCCAGGGUCUCGAACCGGAUUAGAUACCCGGGUAGUCCUGGCCGUAAACAAUGCCUGCUAGGUGUGGCUCCCACUACGAGUGGGUGCUGUGCCGUAGGGAACCC
RNAcentral lists this ribosomal RNA (752 nucleotides) under Halorubrum xinjiangense. Its description in RNAcentral is "bacterial SSU rRNA". It matches the Rfam family "Archaeal small subunit ribosomal RNA", at positions 60 to 813 of the family's 1478-position model. Lineage: Archaea; Methanobacteriati; Methanobacteriota; Halobacteria; Halobacteriales; Haloferacaceae. The record is from RNAcentral.